Molecule: ribosomal RNA, 403 nt
Filed under: uncultured bacterium
Lineage: Bacteria
Description: bacterial SSU rRNA
Rfam family: Bacterial small subunit ribosomal RNA
Source: RNAcentral
GGGGGAUAUUGCACAAUGGAGGAAACUCUGAUGCAGCAACGCCGCGUGAGGGAAGAAGGUCUUUGGAUUGUAAACCUUUGUCCUUGGUGACGAAACAAAUGACGGUAGCCAAGGAGGAAGCUCCGGCUAACUACGUGCCAGCAGCCGCGGUAAUACGUAGGGAGCAAGCGUUGUCCGGAUUUACUGGGUGUAAAGGGUGCGUAGGCGGCUCUGCAAGUCAGGCGUGAAAACUAUGGGCUUAACCCAUAGACUGCGUUUGAAACUGUGGGGCUUGAGUGAAGUAGAUGUGGGCGGAAUUCCAGGGGUAGCGGUGAAAUGCGUAGAGAUCGGGAGGAACACCAGUGGCGAAGGCGGCCUACUGGGCUUUAACUGACGCUGAAGCACGAAAGCAUGGGUAGCAAAC